Molecule: transfer RNA, 83 nt
Filed under: Felis catus (domestic cat)
Lineage: Eukaryota; Metazoa; Chordata; Mammalia; Carnivora; Felidae
Rfam family: tRNA
About the family: Transfer RNA (tRNA) molecules are approximately 80 nucleotides in length. Their secondary structure includes four short double-helical elements and three loops (D, anti-codon, and T loops). Further hydrogen bonds mediate the characteristic L-shaped molecular structure. tRNAs have two regions of fundamental functional importance: the anti-codon, which is responsible for specific mRNA codon recognition, and the 3' end, to which the tRNAs corresponding amino acid is attached (by aminoacyl-tRNA synthetases). tRNAs cope with the degeneracy of the genetic code in two manners: having more than one tRNA (with a specific anti-codon) for a particular amino acid; and 'wobble' base-pairing, i.e. permitting non-standard base-pairing at the 3rd anti-codon position.
Source: Rfam by way of RNAcentral
UCCUGGGUGGCUCAGUCAGUUGAGCGCCCGACUUUGGCUCAGGUCAUAAUCUCACUGUGUGGGUUCAAGUCCCAUGUCAGGUU